AAAUGCGAUAGUAAUGUGAUUGCAGAAUUCAGUGAAUCAUCGAAUCUUUGAACGCACCUUGCGCUCCUUGGUAUUCCGAGGAGCAUGCCUGUUUGAGUGUCAUUAAUAUAUCAACCUUCUCUUUUUUGAGUUGUUUGGAUGUGGGGGUUUGCUGGCCUCUUAAAUGAUUCAGCUCCCCUGAAAUGCAUUAGCAGAACAACCUGUUCAUUGGCGUGAUAAUUAUCUAUGCUAUUGAAUGUGAGGGCAGUUCAGCUUUCUAACCGUCCUCGGACAAUUCAUCAUUAAUGUGACCUCAAAUCAGGUAGGACUACCCGCUGAACUUAAGCAUAUCAAAAAGCGGAGGAAGGNAGGGGUGGGGGG
Molecule: ribosomal RNA, 360 nt
Filed under: uncultured Cortinariaceae
Lineage: Eukaryota; Fungi; Basidiomycota; Agaricomycetes; Agaricales; Cortinariaceae
Description: eukaryotic LSU rRNA
Rfam family: 5.8S ribosomal RNA (bases 1-102)
Source: RNAcentral